AGGAGGGGCUGCUGGUUCCAAGAUGCACCCUCUGUUGGACACUUUAAAUGACACACAGAGCAUUGAGGAAAAAAGGGAUGCAGUUGUCUGCUGCCUCAUUAACUACCUUGGUGAAAGACAAGAAGAUCUUUUCCAUGACUGCCAGGAAUGUGAGGACUACACAGACAAAACAAUGAAGGUGAUCGUGAUGCACAACAUCAUGGCUGAGGAGGAUCCAUCAGGUGUCGAUUGUGAUUGAGGGAAACCAAGUCAUGGAAGGAUGUGGAAGGCGAACAAAGGCAUGUGUACUGCUGAUGGGACUGAUAUGCCCUCAACCUUGACUAUCCAAAGCAGCUCAAGAACACAUUUGAAGCUUUUCAAAAACUCUUUUUGGAACUUGAUGGGGAAAAACUACUGAAGAAGGACCACAGCCUCAAAAACAAGCUCAUGCAAUAGACAUACAUUUCCCCUCUUGUUCCACGAGGAACUUUUGUCUGGACAGAGAGUUUUAAUGGAGUAUAGUUUUAUAUUUUUGUUCUCUUCCCUCCUCUGCUCCACACACAGACACAGAAAUAUAUGUACAGAUGGAUACACAAGUAUGUUGCAGCCUCUCUCAGCCCACUCCAUUGUUCUCUGAUUUCUCCACAUUGACAGAAAUGGAAAAGCAAUAGAAACUGGCCGGUCUGGUCAAUACCACUGACUGAAUCCUGAAGAAUUUUGAACUCACCCUCUUUCCCUCCCCAUUUGUUUGUUUCUUUUAUUCUCAUCCUGUCUCUGAGAGUGAGAGCAAGCGCAGAAACUAAAGAAUGUUGAUUUUCUGAUCUGUCUUUAUCCAGAUGUUUGAUACUGUACACACAGAAACAAUCUUGUAGAGUUUGUGUGUGGUUUUUAUGGCUUUUAAAAUAGAGUAAGGGGCCUCUGAAAGUGUUGUUUGCAUUGACCAAUUAUCCAGAAAGAACAUUUGAAGCCAUUAGCUUAGUGAGUUAUAAAACGGGUUUAUUCAUUGAAAUGUUGUGUGAAGCUGUGUACUGCACUUUAUUCAUUUUUGGAUAAUUUAGUGUAUUGCUGCAUAUAAACAAGGCAGUUCAGUUAUUUGUUGUGUAUAAAUACACCUGCAGAUUGCAGAUUUGCUCAGUCACUGUUGUGUGAGGCUGAAGAAACACAAGUAAGAGUUUAGAUUCAAGAAAAUCUUCAUGUGAUUGGACAUCCCUUGCACCUCUGCUCUGAUCACCUCACUUCUCCUUUUCUCUGAUCUACUCCUUUAUUAUUGAGCAGUCUGGAUGUCCUAAAACAAGGAUAUGUUUUAUUGCCCAACAUUACUGAAACAGCGUUUGAAGUUGUUAUAUUAUAACACAGGUUCAUUAUUUGAAAUGUUGUGUGACACUGUUGUGCUGCAGUUUAUUCUGUGUUUUUGUUUUUGAUGACUUUAUGUAUUAAAAACAUUGAGAAGGUGUAUGAUUUGAAUGUCUUUUUUGGGGGUACAUCUUACCUUCUCUGAAUAAGUAAUGGUUAUUAACUGAUUUUAAUUAACUUUGAUUUGUAAUUAUCAGGUAUUACCUACUAGCAAACAAGAAAUAGUUUUACCUAAUUUAACUGAGUAAGUAGCUGUUGAAUAUAUACAUAAAUAUGAGGUAAAUUUUACCCAAUUUCUUUAAGUAUUUCAUAUAUUUUUUGUUCAGUUAAUUUAUACUCAAUAUAUGGAAUUGAAUCUACCCCAACAGAGUAGAUGCAAAUUGUUACCUCACAUUUAUUAGGUAAAUUCUAUAGGUUACUUUUUUCAGUG
This is a long non-coding RNA of Gambusia affinis (western mosquitofish), 1762 nucleotides long. RefSeq lists it as uncharacterized. The record is from RefSeq and is a predicted model, not a curated record. NCBI's taxonomy places the organism in Eukaryota, Metazoa, Chordata, Actinopteri, Cyprinodontiformes, Poeciliidae. The transcript has 3 exons.